GGCCAGGUAGCUCAGUCGGUAGAGCAGGGGACUGAAAAUCCCCGUGUCGGUGGUUCGAUUCCGCCCCUGGCCACCA
This 76-nucleotide transfer RNA is filed under the name Nitrococcus mobilis. RNAcentral's name for it is "tRNA-Phe". It matches the Rfam family "tRNA". From Rfam's summary of the family: Transfer RNA (tRNA) molecules are approximately 80 nucleotides in length. Their secondary structure includes four short double-helical elements and three loops (D, anti-codon, and T loops). Lineage: Bacteria; Pseudomonadati; Pseudomonadota; Gammaproteobacteria; Chromatiales; Ectothiorhodospiraceae. RNAcentral also lists the same sequence under 5 other names. The record is from RNAcentral.